CUCUUUGCAGUCACUCACGACACUUACCACCAGAGACAACCACGUGGUGUUUGGUGAAUGCAUAGAGAAAAGUGAAAAGAGACAGUCUCUGUUUAACAGUGAAGUCAGGUCCUCUGGCAUCUUUUCUACAAACAUGGCAAAGAUUUGUUUAGUUGUCCAGAUUUCAGUGAUACCAGCCAGAAUUAUAUAUGAUGCCAUUUAUCAUCAUUGAAUGAGAUUCUUUGGCAUCCUCUCUACAAACAUGGGUUAGUUUGCUCAAGUUUUGGUGAUACCAGCCUUAGAUAUUCAUACUGCCUUUAUUCAUCAUAAUAUAUUGAUUAAGGUCUUCAUAGGCAGGAGCUCCCAACACAGAGACAUCGAUUAGCAAAAAAGGUUUUCAAGUGGCAUUCAUGAAGCAAGAGACACCGUUAUAGAUAUUCCCAAUAGCUGAGGUGAAUAAAAAUAAUAUUGUAUGCCCUAGUUGUUAGAUCAGUUGAAGCCAUUGAUGCCAAACAAUUUCUGUUCCGGCUACUGAUUAUGGCUGAGGAUACCCACCAAUCUGAUGCAUUGUUCAUUUAAACCUAUUAUUGAAUCAUAAUUAUCAUUCAGUGUGGUUGAAAUAUUUUUUUUUAGGUUCUCAUGAAGGUGAUAUUCCAGAGACAGGUUGUAAGAAUUUUAUAU
Long non-coding RNA from Coccinella septempunctata (seven-spotted ladybird), 660 nucleotides. RefSeq lists it as uncharacterized. Lineage: Eukaryota; Metazoa; Arthropoda; Insecta; Coleoptera; Coccinellidae. The transcript has 5 exons. The record is from RefSeq and is a predicted model, not a curated record.